This 124-nucleotide ribosomal RNA is filed under the name uncultured bacterium. RNAcentral describes it as "partial 16S ribosomal RNA". The record is from RNAcentral.
CCGGAGCUUCUUCUGAUGGUACUGUCAUUAUCAUCCCAUCUGAAAGUGUUUUACAACCCUAAGGCCUUCAUCACACACGCGGCAUCGCUGGAUCAGGGUUGCCCCCAUUGUCCAAUAUUCCCCA